RNAcentral lists this long non-coding RNA (3385 nucleotides) under Marmota monax (woodchuck). Lineage: Eukaryota; Metazoa; Chordata; Mammalia; Rodentia; Sciuridae. The record is from RNAcentral.
GAAAACCAAGAACUUCUGAGAGGUGUCUUUAAGGGACCAGCUCUUUCUUGCCAAGAUAGAGGGAGCUGGUUUGUCUCCGUGUCCUGGGCAGGGCAGGUCACUCCGCUACCUGCUCUUCUCUGCAGAUAUAUUUCCAGAGGACUCUGGUCGGGUCAGCUCCUUCGGUGCCAGCCUCCCGUCCCAGCCCCCCUGGCUCACGCAGCAGGCUCCCCGACACUUCCACACUUGCUCAGUUUCACUCCUAUCCCCAGAGGCUUCUCAGGAUAUUCCUGCUGCUUCCAGCGUGUCUGUCCUUCACCCCUGUCCAAAGCAAGCCCAGCCUUCUCCAAACUCUCCAGCCUCCCUGGCCCACCAGGCUGUCUCAACUCAGUGACCCCCCUGCUGUGGGUGCUGGCUCCAGCCCCCAGUCAGGCUGCCUUGCCGGCCUUGAUUGGGUUCUUGUCCAUCUACAGCCCAGAAGAGGUGCUGGGCAAGCAUCCUUUGAGUUCUGUUUAAGUUAGAGGAAAUGGUCUGAGGCCUUGUCCACACGAGUCAGCUGUAGGUGAAGUCAACACUAGAGCCUUACGUUCCUGCAGGUGAGCCCGUCUGCUCCUUUGACACUGCAGGGACAUCCAUCCUGACCCAGGGUUCAGUUACCUUUGCGUGUGGCUCAGGACGCAGUGUCACUGACCUCCAUGCGUAACUGAAACCCAGCCUUGAGACGGCCUCUUCUGUGAAGCAGAUACCAUCUCUGGUCCCUCUUCUUGUGCCUCCUCUGAAGUGUGGAGGGGAGAAGGGCUCUGGCUUCAGAGUUGCCCAGCAGGCUGCAGACAUUCUGCUGGUAAAAGACUUCGGGCAAUGCCAGACACAAAGUAGGUGUGCAACCCACUUUGUCAUCAUUAUUAGCAUCAUUAUUAUUCCUUUUGACCCCAGUCCCUUCAUAGGGUGAACUGCCUGCCUUACCCCUCUAUUCACUGAGGAUGCCUAAGCAGCAUCUAAGGGGAGAGAAAGCACACGCCGUGAGGAAUCCGGAACAGUCAUUCCCUGGGACCUCUGAGGCGGAAAUUUCAAGGGUGUGUCGGAUCUCUAAGACUGCCAGCUCUGGGAGCACAGAAGGCCCCGGGUCUCUGAGGACACUCAGAACACAGUGCCCUCUGUUCAGAAGGCUCAAGAGCACGGCCCUUUUGUGCUUGGACUUCCCGGAGACCAUCUGGGUUGUGAAUGGUCUCCUUGCUUCAGACGCUACCAUGAAAGGUGGUCCUAUCUUCUGGGCUUCCUGUCGUGAGGCAGCAAGGCUUGGUAGCUGGAAGCUGUAUUUUGGCACCAGCUGCCUGCUCUGGGUACAGCUAGAGAAUAAGGAUGUUGCUCUUUGGAGGACAAUUACCAUUUGUCCAAAUACAUCCAACCACGUGACUGAGCAGAAAAAUACGAGGUUGUGUUCAAAACAGGGAGGGUUGUCUUGCUGUGAGCCUGGGCACGCAGCCUGGACAGAGCAGACCCCAUGAGCGUCUCAUCCUGAGUCAUUGACAUUGGGUUCUUUACCAGGGAUUGUACUUGAAGAGAGAGAUGUGUCUAUAAAGGGACAAAGGUCCUUGACCCAGGGACACAAUUGCUACCAUUGUCUUUCCUCCAAAUCCUGGAGCACAUUUGUGAGGCAGCUCAGACAGUCAGCACUGCCCCUCUCAAGGUCAAGGUGUGGACAGCCAGGGAAGCCGGGAGCCCAUGGAGGAGAACUCAGAAGACUGCCUACACAGAAUUCUUCUUUUCUUCGUUUAACAAAAUCAUUUUUUUUUUUUUGGCUUGUGGUUAGUUCUUGUUUUCUCCAUGUGGGAUUCAGGAAAAGAUGAAAAGAAUAUGUUUAAAACCCUCAUUUUCUCAGCCACACCAGUGCUAAUUGUUGGUUACAAAGGGCCCAAAAUAGCAUGGCUGUCCAGCACCUGCCCAGCUCUGAGCCAGGUUCCCAGCCAGAAAGGGGAAAGUGAGAAGAGACCCAGGGACUGGCUGAGCUCCCUCAGGCCUUGUGGCCUUCAGGGCCAGGCUCUGCCACCUGUCCCCAGGGCUUCUCUGAUCACUGCAGGGCUGUGGGGACAGCACAGUGGAGCCCUGCUUUUCUGGUGCUGCUGUGGCCAUGGGGGCCUGCUACGGGUAGGGGACAGGGACAGGGAGGAGCUGACGCCCAGGGCUGUGACUUCGGCCCUCCCAUGAUGAGCUCCCAAGGCAUCUGGUUUGGACACCAGGUCCAGGCACCUGGGCACAGGAAACCUGGGUCUUUGGAGACCUGGGGAGGAUGCAGCCUGGGAAGACAGGACUGAUGGACAGCGUGAGACUCACCAGCUUGGUGGGAAGGCCGAGAUGGUUGAUAAGUGGCACAGGGAAGACACCAUCUGCGGCUGAGCCGAUGCGUUGAAACACAAGUGGUGGUGGCAGGAGCUGGAGAGGUGGUGGACAGGACUGAUGCUUCUCUCUGCUUGGGGUUUCCUUUCCGUCCCUGGAGACUUAACUCCCUCCACACGUUAGAGUCCGCGGUUCCCAACUUCCCUGCUCAACCACUUUGCCAGAUCUCAGGGAAGAUGUGCCCAACCCAACCCUGGAGGGAGCGGUCAAGGAGGUGGGCAGAACGAGGCGUGGGAAGGUCCCAGAAGGAAAGGGCUCAAGGGCGUGGGCAGCCAGGGCUUGUGUCCGCCCGAGACAAGGAGCCUCAUUCAGGGCAUUUGCAAUGAGAAGGUUCGGCAAGGGAGGCUGGGCAAGCGCUCAGGUGUGGAGACCUGUGUGGUGGCAAUCCUCCUCUUUGUGGCCUUCAGGAGGCUGUCUGUCCCCUGCACACUUGGACUCCUGUUCUGAAGCAGCUCCAGGCUUCCGAGCUGGCCUCAGCCCAAGGUUAGUGGGAAUGGCCUAGGAAAGAGCGGGAAGAACCCUGUGCUCUGAGGCCAACCAGCGUCCAGGGGCUACUCCAAACUGAACAGAGGCUAGAAGUUUGUCUCAAGGGGGAGCAGCAUCAACACGGUCAGAGGAUGCACUGCCCAGCGGCCAGAGCAGGGCACAAAGGAUGCAGUCGGGGCUGUGGGGCAGCAGGAUUCCCCUCCACGCUCACGGCCCACGGCUGCCCUCCACACGGGGCUUUACUUGACAGGAAAUAAACAGUCGGCUUGCAAAUAGAGGGCCCGACAAUGGAGCCACUGGCUGCAGGGCAGGCUGGGCCAGCUCUGGACAUCGGCCACGCUGGGGACCCCCGGGAGCUCGGGCCACUCCUCCCAUGGACACUGUGGUCUGCCUUUCUCCUCCUCCUUCCUGCACUGGCAGGAGUGAGCACCCGCUUGGGGCCCGGCUCCUGAGUGUGAGUCCCCUGAGCCCAGUCCUGCACAUGACCAGGCUGCUUCUACCUCUGUUUGCCCUGCUAGGUGCCCAG